GGGGUUGUGGCUCAAUGGUAGAGCGCUUACCUGGCGUGUGUGAGGAACUGGGUUCGAUUCUCAGCACCA
This 69-nucleotide transfer RNA is filed under the name Ictidomys tridecemlineatus (thirteen-lined ground squirrel). RNAcentral describes it as "Spermophilus tridecemlineatus (thirteen-lined ground squirrel) tRNA". It matches the Rfam family "tRNA". Rfam says of the family: Transfer RNA (tRNA) molecules are approximately 80 nucleotides in length. The record is from Rfam by way of RNAcentral. Lineage: Eukaryota; Metazoa; Chordata; Mammalia; Rodentia; Sciuridae.